UACGGGGGGGGCAAGCGUUGUUCGGAAUUACUGGGCGUAAAGGGCUCGUAGGCGGCCAACUAAGUCAGACGUGAAAUCCCUCAGCUUAACUGGGGAACUGCGUCUGAUACUGGAUGGCUUGGAUCCGGAAGAGGGAUGCGGAAUUCCAGGUGUAGCGGUGAAAUGCGUAGAUAUCUGGAGGAACACCGGUGGCGAAGGCGGCGUCCUGGACCAACACUGACACUGAGGAGCGAAAGCCAGGGGAGCAAACGGG
Molecule: ribosomal RNA, 253 nt
Filed under: uncultured bacterium
Lineage: Bacteria
Description: partial 16S ribosomal RNA
Rfam family: Bacterial small subunit ribosomal RNA
Source: RNAcentral